UGCCAACCAACGGCGGUAAUACUUAGGGUCCGAGCGUUGUCCGGAAUUACUGGGCGUAAAGAGCUCGUAGGUGGUUUGUCGCGUUGUUCGUGAAAACUCACAGCUUAACUGUGGGCGUGCGGGCGAUACGGGCAGACUAGAGUACUGCAGGGGAGACUGGAAUUCCUGGUGUAGCGGUGGAAUGCGCAGAUAUCAGGAGGAACACCGGUGGCGAAGGCGGGUCUCUGGGCAGUAACUGACGCUGAGGAGCGAAAGCGUGGGGAGCGAACAGGAUUAGAUACCCUGGUAGUCCACGCCGUAAACGGUGGGUACUAGGUGUGGGUUUCCUUCCUUGGGAUCCGUGCCGUAGCUAACGCAUUAAGUACCCCGCCUGGGGAGUACGGCCGCAAGGCUAAAACUCAAAGGAAUUGACGGGGGCCCGCACAAGCGGCGGAGCAUGUGGAUUAAUUCGAUGCAACGCGAAGAACCUUACCUGGGUUUGACAUGCACAGGACGACUGCAGAGAUGUGGUUUCCCUUGUGGCCUGUGUGCAGGUGGUGCAUGGCUGUCGUCAGCUC
RNAcentral lists this ribosomal RNA (557 nucleotides) under Mycobacterium sp. Its description in RNAcentral is "bacterial SSU rRNA". It matches the Rfam family "Bacterial small subunit ribosomal RNA", at positions 506 to 1061 of the family's 1533-position model. Lineage: Bacteria; Bacillati; Actinomycetota; Actinomycetes; Mycobacteriales; Mycobacteriaceae. The record is from RNAcentral.